UCCUACGGGAGGCAGCAGUGAGGAAUAUUGGUCAAUGGGCGGAAGCCUGAACCAGCCAAGUCGCGUGAGGGAAUAAGGCCCUACGGGUCGUAAACCUCUUUUGCCGGGGAGCAAGGGCGGGGACGUGUCCCGGCCCGGAGAGUACCCGGAGAAAAAGCAUCGGCUAACUCCGUGCCAGCAGCCGCGGUAAUACGUAGGUGGCAAGCGUUAUCCGGAUUUACUGGGUGUAAAGGGCGUGUAGGCGGGAAAG
This 250-nucleotide ribosomal RNA is filed under the name uncultured bacterium. RNAcentral describes it as "partial 16S ribosomal RNA". It matches the Rfam family "Bacterial small subunit ribosomal RNA", at positions 337 to 583 of the family's 1533-position model. The record is from RNAcentral.